GCUUUGCCUGUGUGCGGCUGGCUACGUGAAAAAGCUGCUUCUUCUUCAGAGAAUGCAAAACUGCUGAGAUCACACCAUGAAGAGUCCUGAAACAAUGUGGGAGGCACAGAGCUUUGAGACAAGGUGUGUGCAUGUGGCGAGUGCCACCAUCACCCGAAACACGGCACGGAGCGAGCAAGCGAGCGAGCUAGCGAGGAAUGCCGCCUGCGAGAAAACCCUGGGUCUGUCUGCUGGACUUCUAGCUCAGGGGUCACAGGGGUAUUUGGGUAGCCUUGCCCAUCUACUGUGGGGAGCUCAGUCACUCUCUUUUGCAUGCAUUUAAAGCAAGCAGAAAACCUUUCUAGACGACACAUUAUGGUAAUAAUGGCUGCUUUUUAACCAACUAGAAGACCAAGAAAAAAAAAAUGAGAGUUUGCAGAACUUAAAUUUGUUUCACUGAAGAUGCUUUAUUUCAGUGAACCAAUGAAGUUGCUAAUCGAUGUUCAGUAUUCUGGAGAGAAAGCUAUGUCCCACCCUCAAACUGAAAGUUUGUCUUAAGCUCCAAGGAAAUUUAAGCCCAAAUGUGCUGCCAAAACAAAAACAAAAACAAAAAACAAAGGAAAAACAAAAACAGCAAGGAAAAUUUCUAGAGUAUAACAAGAAUUAAGCAAAAUACACGAAAUUCUGUUUUAACACAGCCCAGACACAGUUCUUAUCCUGAGCCCGUCCUGAUACACAGAUCUUGGCUGAUACAAUGUUUAGAAGAGGAGAAACCCGAGAGAGAAGAGUGCAGAGACAAGGUUGCCUGGCACACGGUGAUGCUCUUACCGGGUCUUCAUCGUUAUAGUGUCUCUAGAGUGACAAGUGAAGCAGGCAAAGACAAGGUCUGAGGGAGGCACCGAAUACAGCCCCGAGAGCGUCCGUGUGGAACCACCCCCACGAAGUUUACCACUGCUCGUGCAAACUUAUGGGACUUAAGGCAACGAGGGGAAAGCAGAGGCCAGUGCGCAUGCUCACAGAUGCAUCAGAGACUUCCAGAAGCCACCAGUGGUAAAUGCCUGUCCCAAACUAGGUCCUCAAAACUGCUAGCUUUUCUUUCUAUUACGAAUUGUAAUAUGCGUGCUUA
Molecule: long non-coding RNA, 1105 nt
Organism: Microtus oregoni (creeping vole)
Lineage: Eukaryota; Metazoa; Chordata; Mammalia; Rodentia; Cricetidae
Exons: 3
Source: RefSeq, a predicted model, not a curated record